CUUCCCUUGCAAGCAUACAGUUCUACGGUUUAGUUUAUUCACUUACAUAGUCUGACACAAUCCAUCUUAUGAAUAAUCAUAGCAGUCAUGGUUGAAUGAUGUAGAUAUGUCUUAGUUCUUUUAGCUUUAACCUUUGAAAUAAAGUUGCUGAGGUCAAGUAGUGACUGAUUUUGAGGGACCGUCUAAACCUAAUUAUAGAUACCUGGGGAACAGGAGGCAAUUUCAAAAGCAAACAAAGGUGGUGAGAUGACUCAACAGAUAAGUGUGACCCCUGAUAACCUAAGUUUGAUCCCCAGGAUCCCUGAGGUGGAAGAGAAAACCAACUUCCACAAGUUCCUCCAUGCUUUGACCAUGACAUGCAUGUACACACAUACAUACACAUACACACACUGAAUAAAAUUAAAUGUAACCUACGAGGAAACAACAGAUCUGCACAGCACCGAUAACUUCCUUCCUGGGGAUUUAAGAAGAGCCACUCUAUAGAUAUCCCAGAAUACAAGAGAAAGGAGAUGUUCUAGAAAGAGGAGAUGGAGCGGAAGGACGCCAAGGGAAUGAGCAUCCCCUCCUCUUCCAGGGUAGGAGGGAGACAGACACCCCACCUUGUAGCCAUAACCCAUACCAGAUGUUUUAGCUAGAAGUGAGCAAUCCACGGGGACACCCAACAGAGGUCAGCUCUGCAGGGGCAUCUGCCAGCUCUGGGGAGGAGCUCAGCAGCUGAGAUAAUAUUUGCCUUGACCUCCCAAAGAGGCAGAAACUCACAAAAGCGGCUUCUGGGAAAGAAGACCACAGUGCAUUAAUACUAAGCCAUGUCUAAGUAUUUUAUGCAUAUAGCAGUAGUGAGAAGAGGGUAAACUGAGCCACAAAGUCUGUGACACACCAGGAAGUUCAGACUGGAACCUAGAGGCCCUGGUACUGUGUAUUUUCCCUGGGCAGGUGGUCGGCUCAUAUCCAGGUGGUCUUGGAGGUAGGAAGAGAGCCAGGGAGUCUGAGGUGCAAGUGUCUCCAGGCUGCUGUCUGGGAGACAAGGAAGGGGAGGAGGUAAGUGCAUAACUGCAAAGGGUAGUAAAUGAGGAGAGUCACAUUGGUUUGUUAAGCUUUUGUUUCUAUUUUCCAGAGAAAGAACAACCUGGUCUGAUGGGCCCAGCUCUUGGAACAUGUAUGGUCCCUAACUGCUUGCUGUGUUUGCAGUGUAAAAUGUCCCCGUGGGAUCAUGUGUUUGAAAACUUGGUCUCUACUUGGGAGGUUGUGGGAACCCUGGGGGGGGGGCUGUUAGGCUCCUUAACAGGUGGUAACGGCAUCCUGCUCUCCUCUUCCUGAUCUACAGUCGGUGCCUCGUGCCACAGAGCAGGCUGCUGCCAUGCCUUCCCCUCCAGGAAGAACUCUAGUCUCAAACUGUGAGCCAGAACAAACUCUUCCUUCUUCAGGUUGCUUCCUUGGGUCAUUUGAUGCUGGUGACGAGGAGUCAUGAAUGUACAGCUUUAAGAGCAUCAGUGAGCUAGGGUGCCAAGAAGUGAGCACCAGGAGGAGGCUUGGAGCUUGGAGGGAGGUCUCAAGGCUCUCAGUUUGGGGAAGAACCUUUCCCAUCUAUCUGCCUUGCUGAGAGCUGCUCCAGAGAGCUCCUUCUAUAACACACCCUCACCCUGACCCUGUGCAGCAGUGGACUUGCCAACCCUCCAGGCUCUGCACCUCAAGUUCAGCUGCCAUGGGGACAGGAGCCCUGCGCCUUUUUCUUCCUCUUUUCUCUUUCAUGUCCCUUUGCUCUCCACCUGCCCAAAGCUCCCGAAAGAUUGGCAUCUCAGGGUGACAUCAUGUCUCCUCUAACAUUCAGGCUCUGGGCUCAGGCUAAGGAUCAGGGUUCUAGAAAGGGAUCCUAACCCAGAAAGUCAGAGGUUUAAGAAAAAAAUCCCAUGGAUGGAUAUAUCUAAAAUUUGGGCUUGAAUGGGAGGCCAGAGAAUACAAAAUUCCAAAACCUUGAUCUUGAUUUUCAUUAAAUGUUUUUGAGGGCCAAGUUCAUGGUCAAAGAGAACUGUUAGUACAAAGGCUGUGGAAGGAGGAAGUUGGCAAGGAUGAACCAUUGCGCAGGCUGGCCUUUGGUUUCCUAACUGGUAUUUCUGCAUGGUACCUUCUUCCAGGGAUUUCUUGGAAUGAGCCAGGCUGCAGAGGUGAUUGAGUGUCAAUGUGGAGCUGCUCUCCAUCCAAGCAUGCCUCCUUAUUGCUAGAGCUCUGGUCUGGCAAGGCUUGUCAGGACAUAGGGGUGUGUGAGACAAUAAGUCUGAACACAAUUGGAAAGAUCAUGCAGGUCUGUCUCUGUGCUGCCUACCAGGGCCCUACUGUAGCAGAGCUCCAGCCCACAAGAAGUUCAAGUUUGACCACAUCCUUUUUGGAAUUGGAUCCUUUCAUUGGUUCUACAACACUGGGGAAUGCCAAUGAAAAUGUGCACAGUCACUAUGGAAUUUUAUUCAGCUGUAAAGAAGCAUGAACUUUGCAGGAAAAUGAAUAUGACCGGAAAAUGUUGUGGGCCAUUCUGCUGUUGGCCUGUAACCCACUUUAAACACAGUGUUGCAGAAGCAGCCCAGCACUGCACAAGCUCUGAGUUCAGGCCUUGAGAGACGAUGUGAAGCUUUUCAAUCCCAGAAGACAAGCAAUGACCUCCUAGCAAGAUGAACUCUGCUGACGUCACACCAAGGACCCAGACCUAUCCCUCCAGCUCCAGUCAUCCCAGGGCUGACUGAACGGGGAGAGCAGUAGAAACCUCAGACACCAUACAGUGUUGUUUUAGGACUUUCAGACUUCGGCAAUAAACGACCAAUACAGCUGGUGUCCUGCCAGUGCCGGAAUGGGGUCCUUUGCUCAUAGAAGACCUUAUGGCCUGAAGACAAUGCACAAUAGUGGAGCACUUGUCUGGUGUGUGUGAGGCCCAGGUCCCAAACCCAAACCCAAACCAAAAGAUGUCUCCUGGCUUUCCAGUACAGUGAAGUAGGGUUCCCACCAUUGAAGUGACUGAGAAAGCCUAUAAAUACAACAACGUGU
Mesocricetus auratus (golden hamster) is the source of this 3030-nucleotide long non-coding RNA. RefSeq lists it as uncharacterized. NCBI's taxonomy places the organism in Eukaryota, Metazoa, Chordata, Mammalia, Rodentia, Cricetidae. The record is from RefSeq and is a predicted model, not a curated record. The transcript has 3 exons.